Molecule: ribosomal RNA, 594 nt
Filed under: Myxarium grilletii
Lineage: Eukaryota; Fungi; Basidiomycota; Agaricomycetes; Auriculariales; Hyaloriaceae
Description: eukaryotic LSU rRNA
Rfam family: Eukaryotic large subunit ribosomal RNA
Source: RNAcentral
AGGAUUCCCCUAGUAACGGCGAGUGAAGAGGGAAAAGCUCAAAUUUAAAAUCUGGCGGUCUCCGGCCGUCCGAGUUGUAGUUUAGAGAGGUGUUUUCUGCGUCGGACCACACACAAGUCCUUUGGGAUAAGGCUUCAUAGAGGGUGAGAAUCCCGUACAUGGUGUGGACUACCGGGGCUAUGUGAUGCACCCUCAAAGAGUCGAGUUGUUUGGGAAUGCAGCUCAAAAUGGGUGGUAAAUUCCAUCUAAAGCUAAAUAUUGGGGAGAGACCGAUAGCGCACAAGUACCGUGAGGGAAAGGUGAAAAGCACUUUGGAAAGAGAGUUAAACAGUACGUGAAAUUGCUGAAAGGGAAACGCUUGGAGUCAGUCGCGUCCUUCUGGACUCAGCCGUGGUUCUCCUCGGUGUACUUCCAGUUGGAUGGGCCAGCAUCGAUUUUGUUCGCCGUACAAAGGCGUGAGGAAUGUGGCACUCUUCGGGGUGUGUUAUAGCCUCGCGUUGUAUGCGGUGGGUGGGAUCGAGGAACGCAGCGCGCCGCAAGGCUGGGAUUCGUCCACAUACGCGCUUCGGAUGCUGGCGUAAUGGCUUUAAGCGA